RNAcentral lists this ribosomal RNA (444 nucleotides) under uncultured bacterium. RNAcentral's name for it is "bacterial SSU rRNA". It matches the Rfam family "Bacterial small subunit ribosomal RNA", at positions 354 to 796 of the family's 1533-position model. The record is from RNAcentral.
GUAGGGAAUUUUCGGCAAUGGGGGAAACCCUGACCGAGCAACGCCGCGUGAGUGAUGACGGCCUUCGGGUUGUAAAGCUCUGUUGUAAGGGAAGAACGGUAGAUAGAGAAUAUCUAAGUGACGGUACCUUACCAGAAAGCCACGGCUAACUACGUGCCAGCAGCCGCGGUAAUACGUAGGUGGCGAGCGUUAUCCGGAAUUAUUGGGCGUAAAGGGUGCGUAGGCGGCCUGUUAAGUAAGUGGUUAAAUUGUUGGGCUCAACCCAAUCCAGCCACUUAAACUGGCAGGCUAGAGUAUUGGAGAGGCAAGUGGAAUUCCAUGUGUAGCGGUAAAAUGCGUAGAUAUAUGGAGGAACACCAGUGGCGAAGGCGGCUUGCUAGCCAAAGACUGACGCUCAUGCACGAAAGCGUGGGGAGCAAAUAGGAUUAGAAACCCUAGUAGUCC